Molecule: long non-coding RNA, 969 nt
Organism: Peromyscus leucopus (white-footed mouse)
Lineage: Eukaryota; Metazoa; Chordata; Mammalia; Rodentia; Cricetidae
Exons: 2
Source: RefSeq, a predicted model, not a curated record
CAUGCUCCUCACAAGCAGCUCAAAUGCACCAUGGCUUUAGAUCAGGACUAUGUGCUGAAGAAAGCAUGAACGGAAAUGGGUGUUAUCAGUGCAAAGCAAACCCAGAUGCCCUAACAAAAACGGCAAAGAUGGAUUCUUUCCUCUUCCGUGAGCUGCUUUUUAGAGAGCCAGCGUGUUACAGUAUCCAUGUGCCUCUGACAAUUACUUGUGAGAUCUCUGCCUUUUAUUUUCUGUUGUUCCCGAGUCUGCUAAACAAAGUUCCUCUUCCCUGGUGAGGGUAGUCACUGGCUGUAAGCUGGAGCCUCUCACAGCCAGGGUCUGGGAAGUUGCUCUUUCCGGAAGGGUGGUGGAGACCCUGGGAAUCAGACCAGCCCUGCUCACAAAGUAUGAAGAGAAUGUCGGGAGAGGAAGUGGUGCCUCUGAGUCAGCAUGAGUCAUCUGGUUCCAGUGACAAUGAAGGCUGAGGUGUGCGCCUUUUUCUUUUCUUUCUUUCUUUUUUUUUCUUUUUAAUCAUGUGGACAUCUCUGAGAAUGGAGGGGACCCAGUGCCUUUACAGUGGCUGCUUUCUAAGUUUCAAAGUGACUUUCCAGGCAAGCUGAGCAUGUCUUGGGAUCUUCACAGCACAGUGGCUGGGAAGGUGGAGCCAUUCAUCAGCUUCUCCCUGAAUAACUGGGAGCUGAAACAGGAAGCCCCAUGACACAAUUGAUCGAAAAUGACACAGACACAGAAAAACCAGGACGUGCCCCCAGCAGCACCUUUACCUGCUGCCUGCUGAUCGCAGCUAGAAGGCAGAUGAAGGGUUUCCCCCCAGGAAUGGCCUGUAACUCUGGAGAGCUCUGGCGGACCUCUGUGCUCACUGGUGAGGGAUGGGCCUACAGUAUUUUGGUGAUAGUCUUCUUCGGUUAGUUUCCCACUUCUCGGGCCCUCAUGUCUUGAUCUUAUCUUCAUUAAAGGCAAAACUAAAGAAAA